RNAcentral lists this ribosomal RNA (1287 nucleotides) under metagenome. RNAcentral's name for it is "bacterial SSU rRNA". It matches the Rfam family "Bacterial small subunit ribosomal RNA", at positions 242 to 1520 of the family's 1533-position model. The record is from RNAcentral.
UAGCUAGUUGGUGAGGUAAAGGCUUACCAAGGCGACGAUCUGUAGCGGGUCUGAGAGGAUGAUCCGCCACACUGGAACUGAGACACGGUCCAGACUCCUACGGGAGGCAGCAGUGGGGAAUUUUGGACAAUGGGGGCAACCCUGAUCCAGCCAUGCCGCGUGAGUGAAGAAGGCCUUCGGGUUGUAAAGCUCUUUCGGCCGGGAAGAAAUCGCAUGGGCCAAUACCCUGUGUGGAUGACGGUACCGGAAUAAGAAGCACCGGCUAACUACGUGCCAGCAGCCGCGGUAAUACGUAGGGUGCGAGCGUUAAUCGGAAUUACUGGGCGUAAAGCGUGCGCAGGCGGUUUUGUAAGGCAGGCGUGAAAUCCCCGGGCUUAACCUGGGAACUGCGUUUGUGACUGCAAGGCUAGAGUACGGCAGAGGGGGGUGGAAUUCCACGUGUAGCAGUGAAAUGCGUAGAGAUGUGGAGGAACACCAAUGGCGAAGGCAGCCCCCUGGGUCGAUACUGACGCUCAUGCACGAAAGCGUGGGUAGCAAACAGGAUUAGAUACCCUGGUAGUCCACGCCCUAAACUAUGUCAACUAGGUGUUGGGUGGGUAAAACCAUUUAGUACCGUAGCUAACGCGUGAAGUUGACCGCCUGGGGAGUACGGCCGCAAGGUUAAAACUCAAAGGAAUUGACGGGGACCCGCACAAGCGGUGGAUGAUGUGGAUUAAUUCGAUGCAACGCGAAAAACCUUACCUACCCUUGACAUGCCAGGAACUUGCCAGAGAUGGCUUGGUGCCCGAAAGGGAGCCUGGACACAGGUGCUGCAUGGCUGUCGUCAGCUCGUGUCGUGAGAUGUGGGGUUAAGUCCCGCAACGAGCGCAACCCUUGUCGUUAAUUGCCAUCAUUUAGUUGGGCACUUUAACGAGACUGCCGGUGACAAACCGGAGGAAGGUGGGGAUGACGUCAAGUCCUCAUGGCCCUUAUGGGUAGGGCUUCACACGCCAUACAAUGGUCGGUACAAAGGGUUGCCAAGCCGCGAGGCGGAGCCAAUCCCAGAAAGCCGAUCGUAGUCCGGAUUGCAGGCUGCAACUCGCCUGCAUGAAGUCGGAAUCGCUAGUAAUCGUGGAUCAGCAUGUCACGGUGAAUACGUUCCCGGGUCUUGUACACACCGCCCGUCACACCAUGGGAGCGGGUUCCGCCAGAAGUAGGUAGCCUAACCGCAAGGGGGGCGCUUACCACGGCGGGGUUCGUGACUGGGGUGAAGUCGUAACAAGGUAGCCGUAGGGGAACCUGCGGCUG